GCUAAUACCGCAUAUUCUCUGAGGAGGAAAGUAGGGGAUCGAAAGACCUUAUGCUUUAAGAGCGGCCGAUGUCUGAUUAGCUAGUUGGUAAGGUAAUGGCUUACCAAGGCAACGAUCAGUAGUUGGUCUGAGAGGACGACCAGCCACACUGGGACUGAGACACGGCCCAGACUCCUACGGGAGGCAGCAGUGGGGAAUUUUGGACAAUGGGCGAAAGCCUGAUCCAGCAAUGCCGCGUGAGUGAAGAAGGCCUUCGGGUUGUAAAGCUCUUUCAGUCGAGAAGAAAAGAUUGUGACUAAUAAUCGUAAUUGAUGACGGUAUCGACAGAAGAAGCACCGGCUAACUACGUGCCAGCAGCCGCGGUAAUACGUAGGGUGCGAGCGUUAAUCGGAAUUACUGGGCGUAAAGGGUGCGCAGGCGGUUUUGUAAGUCAGAUGUGAAAUCCCCGGGCUUAACCUGGGAAUUGCGUUUGAAACUA
Molecule: ribosomal RNA, 478 nt
Filed under: uncultured ammonia-oxidizing bacterium
Lineage: Bacteria
Description: bacterial SSU rRNA
Rfam family: Bacterial small subunit ribosomal RNA
Source: RNAcentral